AAAAGCCAAAUUGGUUCUGUCCGAUUUGAACAAUGAAAGUGCGAAGAGUGAUUAAUUAAGCGAUACACGUGAUAAACGGAUAUGCCAUAAACGUCCGUCCUGACCGGUGCAUUAUCGCGUACGAUGGAAAAUAUGUACUCAUCGAGGGCAUUAUACACCGUGACAACGAGUCGAUGCGUAUUAUUAUAUUUUGCAUUGCGGUGCCCGUUGCCAAAUCGAUGCCCGGUUUAUAACAGAAUACUCAACGAGUAAAAUUGAUAGUUUGCCCGAAGGUACGCGAUGUCAAAGAGCGCACUCUCUCGUGUGAUAUCUGUUUUAAUCAUUUUUUUUAACGGAUACAUAUAUAUCUCGCGAGUGUAAAUUAAAUACAGGACGCAAUAUCUUUUUUGUGGGUGGAGGAUCAUGGGGAAUUUCAAGAUUAGUUGGACGUUUUUAAAUGUCAAGUGUAAUAAUCGAGGAUUAUUUACAUUGGAAAAAUGUUACGAACGAUAAAAUUAAUUCCGUAACCGGAAUUAUUCGAAUUAAUAAAGAAGGAAAAUAUUGAAGAAAUAUUUGUAUAAUUGAGAAUUGUGAAAAAACUUGGAAUCAAUUUUCCGUCUUGGAAAUACUGUUAUAUAUAAAUCCAGCAAAAAUCUAAAAAUUUAUACCGAGGUAAUAGCAGGUUGGGGGGAAAGUCGUUCUUCUUCGACUCACGACGCUACAAUUAUGUAAAUGGAAAAGCGUUACUGUUGUUUUUAACUGGAUUUAUUUCGGCGGUGUUGGGCACAGAACUUGGAAAUGAAAAAUGACACGGAAUUAAUGCCUACGGGAGGCAGCUGAGGAUGAAAAUAUAAUAAUAUCUCUGGUCGAAUCAAUGGUGAAAAUUUUAACGAAAAAUUGUAACGGAAGAAUACGAUGUAAAAAAUAUCAUUGUGUGGUGCAUUGUUGAUGUAAUAGCACGUUGCAAUGUAGUAAACAAUGCAAUGGAAUGCGAUGUGUUACAAGGCAACACCGGUCAGAGAUAAUGUAACGUAACGAGACGUAUAAUAUGGUCCAACACAGUGCAAUGCGACAUAACACAAUGCAAAUACAAUAUAGUGAAAUAUAGUGGAAUGCAACGUUAACAGAGUAAGACAGAAAGGCACGAAUCAUUUGGGACAAAAUUCAAUAUAAUACGAUGGAAUGCGAUUGCAACGUGGCAUAAUGUCAAUAUGACGUCAAUUACGAUGCAAUAAAAUACAUUGCAGAUUAUUAGCGUAUCUCGGCAAAUCUUUGAUUAUUCUUAGAUAGAAAUUUAGAAAUGAUUCUCGUGCUAAUAAUACUGUUUGAAUCGGUUUUUACGAUUUGUGAGUCGUGAGGAAUGAGAUUAUUAAGCUUAACAUAUUCAUUUCGCAGGGGAAAAUCGCAAUAUGAUUAAAAAAUUGAUAAAAUAAUUUAUAUGAGAAUUGGAAAUUCCAAUUUUUUUUUAAAUACAAAAGAAACGCCUUUAAAAAAAAUAAAUAAUUCCCAAGGAAUAAAGUAAGAGUAACAUUCUUUUAAAAUCUAGUUCUCGUCGAAUAAUAAAAUAAAUAAUAAAAUUUCAGAGUUCGAUAAAAAAGAAAUAAAAAAAUACAUGAAUAAUUCCAGCAAAGGCAAGCAACACGAUAUACUUCACAGAUUUAUCGAAGAAUCGAAUCGAAUGAUUUCAACGUUGCAACGUUAUAAAAAAUUUCCUCGUAACGAACAUUUUUAUUUUUUUUUUUCAAAUUUUUUCCAUCCCGUAUCGAUAUAGGCAAGUUUUUUAUUUUUUAUUUUUAUUACUUCUUUUUUUCGGUAAAAAUUUGAAGGAAAAAAAAAUGAAA
Long non-coding RNA from Apis cerana (Asiatic honeybee), 1820 nucleotides. RefSeq lists it as uncharacterized. The record is from RefSeq and is a predicted model, not a curated record. NCBI's taxonomy places the organism in Eukaryota, Metazoa, Arthropoda, Insecta, Hymenoptera, Apidae.